This is a long non-coding RNA of Equus caballus (horse), 2597 nucleotides long. Lineage: Eukaryota; Metazoa; Chordata; Mammalia; Perissodactyla; Equidae. The record is from Ensembl.
GCUAAUGCCUUUUAUGUGCAAUUUCCGGUCUAUUAUCUGCCUUCCCCAGCGGGCUGCAUCAGCAAGUUGGGGAACGCAGGCUGAACAGUGAGCACAGUCUGUAGAACCCACAGUUGGUGCUUGAUAGACAGUUGCUAAACGAGUGAACGCAUGAAUGCAUGAAUUCAAAUCAGGACUGUCUCAGGAAGUCCACAUGCCUGCCCGAUGACGUCUGCCAUCAGACGCGUCUUGCUGAAACGCACAUAUCCUGCUCGACAGCGGAGGCUGUCACUCAUCGGAGGGGGCACGCAUCACCCAGAUCAGAGAACACUUCCAUCUGUCCCUGAGGAGUCCUGUUCUCUGCAGAAGCCACCGUGUGCUCCGGGAAUCCAGACGUUCUCACAGCACUGAUCUUCCCAGACAGGAACUGAAAACAAAAGAGUCAAAUCUAUGCAUUUUCCCAUGUGUUAUUUUUAUUUUAAAGAUGCACAAUAUGAUUAAAAAAGAAAAAAGAAGAAAAGGUCUAUUCCUCCUCCGGAAUUCUACUUCCAAAGAGACAGCAACCAUUCUCAUCUGGAGUGUGCUUCGUGAAUCCCCUGGAGCGUGUCCUAAAAUGCUGGGAGCUGAGCCCCACCCACAGUUUCCGAUGCAGGAGGUCGAGGUGGGGCCCAGGAAGCUGCCUUUCUAGCCUGUUCCCAGGGGCUGCUGAUGCUGCCGGUCCGGGCGCCAGGAGGAUCGGUGAGCCCGAGGACUCUGCCGGGCUGAUGGGGAGGCAGCAGCCCUGCUGACUUGCUGUGUGGCCUAGAGGAAAUCACUGUCCACUCUGAGCCUCAGGUUCCCUGCGGGUAAAGAGAGAACCCCUAGAACGUGGUUCAGCGACGCCCAGCACCAGACUUUGCAUCGGCACGUCCCAGCCAGUGCUGGGCAGCAGAGGGCAGCAGAGACUGGGAAAUGGGGUUUAGUCCGGCUGUUUAACCACGCCACUGAACUGCAUAUUCACUGAACUGUCUUCUGUUUGAACGACAUCUCUCUGGCAACUCAGCGCUCCAAAAACCAUCAGCCAAAAGAACAGGAAAUCUCCUAAUCCAUGUGCACUCUCUUUCGUGACUAGGAGAAGUGAACUGAUGCCUUACGUGGACGUUUAUUAGAGUCAGAUACUUCUGAAUCUCCUUUAUGGCCCUUCUGCACACAGGGAAACUGAGGCCUGGAGAGGGAAGAAAUGGCCAUGGUCACACGUUGGCGGCAGGCUUAGGAUAAUGCACAGGCCUAUCGCUCUAUCCUGUUUUGUUCUCUGCCGGUGCCAGCCCUGACAUCAGCCCGCAAGCUUGCCACGCUGGUUCAGACCCGACCCCAAAGGCCGCCCCUGACCCGGCCCUGGCUCGCCGACCGACCACCCCCAGAACGCCGGCUGUGGUGCUGCUGCUGGAGGGGGCGCCGGUGGAUGAGACCUGAGGUGUCCCAGACCCGCUAGCCUGGGGGCCUGGGGAAUCCAGCUUGACCGAAAGAGAGAACUCGUGCAGUGGGGAUUGCUACUUUCAGAAGGAAACUGGAGAAGGUCGUGAACAUUCACCCCAGUCCUUUUUAUCCAGCGAGAUUCACGCCUGGAAAACUGCUGUCUGGUCAGAAAGACUUUGCUGAGAAGAGCCAAGAGCUGAAACCCAGCCGAGGUGUUUCAGGAAAGAGGAGGACCACACAUCCCCAUUCAUUGACAUGUGACCACAGAGGAUCCCUCCCUGCCACUUCCAGGCUUGGCCAUGUGACCUGCCUUGGCUGGUGGAAUAUGAAUGGAUACGACAGAAGCCAUGUCUCUGCAACUUUGAGAGCAGUUACAUGGCUUGGUUCUGCCUCUUGUUCUUUUCCCUUUGCCAAGAGAACACAAUGUCUUGACUGUGGGCUGCUCCUUCAGCACAUGUCCCAGAACGAGAAGGAGCAUGGAGCAGAGCCACAGUGGCCACCAUGCAGCUCUCAACACGAGCAAGAUUGAAGCUGAUUUUUGUUACUGCAGCACAACUUAGCAAGCUCUGACAAAUACAGAAGGCUCUACUGGACAUCUCGGGGUAUAUCUAUCCAGCUUUCCUUCCUCCCAAAUGGAGACCACAAUGCUGCCACCUACAAGCUGUGUGAUUUUGAGAAAAAUCACAGAACGUCUUGGCCUCAAAUUUCUACACUAACAGACAGAGCUUUCUCCCAGCUUUCUGACCAGCAAUUCUGAAGAACUAGCCUAUCACUUGACACUUGACCCCUGUCGUUCAUGAGUUAUCUUUGCACGUGGUAGUAUCAUACCAGGGAAGUCCCCCCAAAUUUUGAGUCCAACAGCUAUGUAUUCUUGAGCAAAUUGUUUUAUCUCUCUUAUCUGUAAAAUUUUUCUCCUCUAUUAAAGGAAAAUGCAUCACACAGCAUUGGGGUAUGUCAUCUAGCUCAUAGAAUGUACUCAAUAAAUCGAAGUGCCCUCCCUUUCUCUUACCUUCUUGAUCAGAUUGAGUCCUUUGAGAUACACUUCUUUGAGUCUGACAUGCCCUGAACCUGGGGUUUCCUCAGGGAGGGGGUGACAAAAUCCCUGGAUAAAAACCCACAGAGGUGUAUGCAGAUAUUCAUAGCAGCAUUAUUCAUAAAGGUCC